ACGGAGGGUGCAAGCGUUAAUCGGAAUUACUGGGCGUAAAGCGCACGCAGGCGGUUGGAUAAGUCGGAUGUGAAAUCCCCGGGCUUAACCUGGGAACUGCAUUCGAUACUGUCUGGCUAGAGUAUGGCAGAGGGAAGCGGAAUUUCAGGUGUAGCGGUGAAAUGCGUAGAUAUGUGGAGGAACACCGAUGGCGAAGGCAGCUUCCUGGGCCAAUACUGACGCUCAGGCGCGAAAGCGUGGGGAUCAAACAG
This 251-nucleotide ribosomal RNA is filed under the name uncultured prokaryote. RNAcentral describes it as "partial 16S ribosomal RNA". It matches the Rfam family "Bacterial small subunit ribosomal RNA", at positions 525 to 775 of the family's 1533-position model. The record is from RNAcentral.